RNAcentral lists this ribosomal RNA (374 nucleotides) under uncultured organism. RNAcentral describes it as "bacterial SSU rRNA". It matches the Rfam family "Bacterial small subunit ribosomal RNA", at positions 527 to 896 of the family's 1533-position model. The record is from RNAcentral.
CGGGGGAGCAAGCGUUGUUCGGAUUUACUGGGCGUAAAGGGCGCGUAGGCGGCCACCGCAAGUCGACUGUGAAAUCUCUGGGCUUAACCCAGAACGGUCAGCCGAUACUGCGGGGCUAGAGUGCAGAAGGGGGCAACUGGAAUUCUCGGUGUAGCGGUGAAAUGCGUAGAUAUCGAGAGGAACACCUGCGGCGAAGGCGGGUUGCUGGGCUGACACUGACGCUGAGGCGCGAAAGCUAGGGGAGCGAACGGGAUUAGAUACCCCGGUAGUCCUAGCCUUAAACGAUGAAUGCUUGGUGUCUGGGGUUUUAUAGUCCCCGGGUGCCGUCGCUAACGCUUUAAGCAUUCCGCCUGGGGAGUACGGUCGCAAGACUG